GAUCCUGGCUCAGGAUGAACGCUGGCGGCGUGCUUAACACAUGCAAGUCGAACGAAGCAUAUAAGACAGAUUACUUCGGUUUGAAGUCUUUUGUGACUGAGUGGCGGACGGGUGAGUAACGCGUAAUCAACCUGCCCUUCAGAGGGGGACAACAGUUGGAAACGACUGCUAAUACCGCAUACGAUCUAAUCUCGGCAUCGAGGAUAGAUGAAAGGUGGCCUCUACAUGUAAG
RNAcentral lists this ribosomal RNA (232 nucleotides) under uncultured bacterium. RNAcentral's name for it is "partial 16S ribosomal RNA". It matches the Rfam family "Bacterial small subunit ribosomal RNA", at positions 15 to 214 of the family's 1533-position model. The record is from RNAcentral.